Molecule: ribosomal RNA, 490 nt
Filed under: uncultured bacterium
Lineage: Bacteria
Description: partial 16S ribosomal RNA
Rfam family: Bacterial small subunit ribosomal RNA
Source: RNAcentral
AUUGAACGCUGGCGGCAUGCCUUACACAUGCAAGUCGAACGGCAGCAUGAUCUAGCUUGCUAGAUUGAUGGCGAGUGGCGAACGGGUGAGUAAUACAUCGGAACGUGCCCUGUAGUGGGGGAUAACUAGUCGAAAGAUUAGCUAAUACCGCAUACGACCUGAGGGUGAAAGUGGGGGACCGCAAGGCCUCAUGCUAUAGGAGCGGCCGAUGUCUGAUUAGCUAGUUGGUGAGGUAAAGGCUCACCAAGGCGACGAUCAGUAGCGGGUCUGAGAGGACGAUCAGCCACACUGGGACUGAGACACGGCCCAGACUCCUACGGGAGGCAGCAGUGGGGAAUUUUGGACAAUGGGCGAAAGCCUGAUCCAGCAAUGCCGCGUGUGUGAAGAAGGCCUUCGGGUUGUAAAGCACUUUUGUCCGGAAAGAAAUGGCUCUGGUUAAUACCUGGGGUCGAUGACGGUACCGGAAGAAUAAGGACCGGCUAACUACGUG